RNAcentral lists this transfer RNA (72 nucleotides) under Nelumbo nucifera (sacred lotus). It matches the Rfam family "tRNA". Rfam says of the family: Transfer RNA (tRNA) molecules are approximately 80 nucleotides in length. Their secondary structure includes four short double-helical elements and three loops (D, anti-codon, and T loops). Lineage: Eukaryota; Viridiplantae; Streptophyta; Magnoliopsida; Proteales; Nelumbonaceae. The record is from Rfam by way of RNAcentral.
GCCCUUGUAGCUUAGUGGUAGAGCGUCAGUCUUGUAAACUGAAGGUUUGUACUUCGAUCCUGCAUAAAGCUU